Molecule: ribosomal RNA, 216 nt
Filed under: Glomeromycotina sp.
Lineage: Eukaryota; Fungi; Glomeromycota
Description: partial small subunit ribosomal RNA
Rfam family: Eukaryotic small subunit ribosomal RNA (bases 40-216)
Source: RNAcentral
GGGUCAGUAGGUUGGUCGUGCCACCGGUACGUACUGGUCUCACUGAUUCCUCCUUCCUGAAGAACCGUAAUGCCAUUAAUUUGGUGUUGCGGGGAAACAGGACUGUUACUUUGGAAAAAUUAGAGUGUUUAAAGCAAGCUAACGCUUGAAUACAUUAGCAUGGAAUAAUGAAACAGGACGAUCGAUCCUAUUUUGUUGGUUUCUAGGAUUGACGUA